AUCGCUUCUCGGCCUCUUGGCUAAGAUCAAAGUUUAGUUUCUGUUCUUAUCGAAUUAUUAUUUGCGAAGCCUGAAGGUUUAGUUUUGAUACUCAUUACUGCUGCUCAUUGGAAAUGGAUAAAGAGGUAAACUCCCAUUUAAGCUACCCAAUUAAAAAAGUCGCAACUGAUUUGUAUACCUUAUGUACUGACUACCUUUUA
RNAcentral lists this small nuclear RNA (200 nucleotides) under Ancylostoma duodenale. RNAcentral describes it as "U2 spliceosomal RNA". It matches the Rfam family "U2 spliceosomal RNA". From Rfam's summary of the family: U2 is a small nuclear RNA (snRNA) component of the spliceosome (involved in pre-mRNA splicing). Complementary binding between U2 snRNA (in an area lying towards the 5' end but 3' to hairpin I) and the branchpoint sequence (BPS) of the intron results the bulging out of an unpaired adenosine, on the BPS, which initiates a nucleophilic attack at the intronic 5' splice site, thus starting the first of two transesterification reactions that mediate splicing. Lineage: Eukaryota; Metazoa; Nematoda; Chromadorea; Rhabditida; Ancylostomatidae. The record is from Rfam by way of RNAcentral.